Molecule: small nucleolar RNA, 134 nt
Organism: Arvicanthis niloticus (Nile rat)
Lineage: Eukaryota; Metazoa; Chordata; Mammalia; Rodentia; Muridae
Product: small nucleolar RNA SNORA70
Source: RefSeq, a predicted model, not a curated record
CUGCAGCAGGUUGAGCUGGCCAGCUCCAUUUCUUCAUGGAGGUAUGUGUGCAAUGGCUACAAAUAGCAGCCUGCCUGGUAGCAUAUUCAACCUGCUAUCUAUGUGGGUUUCCCUAAGGGAUCUUGGAGGCAAUU